This is a long non-coding RNA of Xyrauchen texanus (razorback sucker), 974 nucleotides long. RefSeq lists it as uncharacterized. The transcript has 3 exons. Lineage: Eukaryota; Metazoa; Chordata; Actinopteri; Cypriniformes; Catostomidae. The record is from RefSeq and is a predicted model, not a curated record.
GCCUCUUACAUUCCAUUUUAGUGUCAAAAAUUCCAUCUCUUGUGGUCAACCAAAAGGAUGCUCAUGAUUAUUUGAUGGGUUGCAUGACUUUGAUGGAUUUAUAAAUUGACACAGGAGUGGCUGCAAGAAGAGUCCAGCUGUACCCAGAAUGCACACAAGGACAAACACCCACAGGAAGAUCCUAUCAAUCACCAUGGCAACAUACUUCCAGUCAUCCUGGACCUUUGAAGACAGCCUGCACAUAGAUCCUACUCCAAUCAAUUACCCUGGGUCUCCUCCCUGGCCUCCUGGUCAUCUUCCGGGUCCCCUUUCUCACCAGUAUCUUCCUGGACUCUUUAUUUUGAAGUGUUUUCCUGGACUACAUUUCCCAGUAUGCACUGCCUUCAUCACUGACAUCUGUUCCUGAUUGUUCUCACCUGUUUUCCAUUCACUCAUUAGCUCUUGUUUGUGUAAAUACCCUUUAGUUUUUGUAUUCCUUUAUCAGUUCCCAUUUGUUGUUUGACUGUCAUCAUUUUUAUUAAAGCCUGCACAUAGAUCCUACAUCUCCUGUCUCAUCGCAGCAACCAAUCUUUACAGAAACUACAAUGGAAAAAGUGAGAACUCUUCACAUACGCGUGCUUUACAAGAUAUUAGCAUGAGCUGCAUAGUCCCUCUGAACCUCUGAACAAACAGCGAAUAAGACAUUUUCUUUCGUCUGUUCUACAAGAUAUAAUAAAGUUCUUCAACUGUGGGUCUUUGUGUCUAUAUGAUACUUGUCAUACAUCAUUUCUUGACAUGUAUCACUCUGAGAUGUCUUAGAGGUCACCCACCACAUUUGCGGGUAGAUGAGCAAAAUUACCUGCCACUGUGCACAAAAUAACUGCAUUUGGUGGGUGGCAGUUUCUAAUUUCAUACCAUGGCUGCUUAUACAAGAGACCAUCUAACUUGCUACAUUAUGAAAAUAUUAAUAAAAAAUGUUUUAUUCUAUCAUUAGU